RNAcentral lists this ribosomal RNA (333 nucleotides) under uncultured bacterium. RNAcentral describes it as "bacterial SSU rRNA". It matches the Rfam family "Bacterial small subunit ribosomal RNA", at positions 29 to 389 of the family's 1533-position model. The record is from RNAcentral.
AGCGAACGCUGGCGGCAGGCUUAACACAUGCAAGUCGAGCGGCGUAGCAAUACGUCAGCGGCAGACGGGUGAGUAACGCGUGGGAACAUACCUUUUGGUUCGGAACAACACAGGGAAACUUGUGCUAAUACCGGAUAAGCCCUUACGGGAAAGAUUUAUCGCCGAAAGAUUGGCCCGCGUCUGAUUAGCUAGUUGGUGAGGUAAUGGCUCACCAAGGCGACGAUCAGUAGCUGGUCUGAGAGGAUGAUCAGCCACAUUGGGACUGAGACACGGCCCAAACUCCUACGGGAGGCAGCAGUGGGGAAUAUUGCGCAAUGGCCGCAAGGCUGACGC